This 29-nucleotide non-coding RNA is filed under the name Mus musculus (house mouse). The record is from RNAcentral. Lineage: Eukaryota; Metazoa; Chordata; Mammalia; Rodentia; Muridae.
UGCACACGGACAAAUGCCAAUCUGCAUGC